RNAcentral lists this long non-coding RNA (629 nucleotides) under Homo sapiens (human). RNAcentral's name for it is "HSALNT0126904". The record is from RNAcentral. Lineage: Eukaryota; Metazoa; Chordata; Mammalia; Primates; Hominidae.
CGGAGAUACGCACCGCGCGGGGAACCCGGGGGUCCGGGGGCCCUAACUUUUGAGUUUUGCACGCCCCGCAGCCUGAGAUGGGAAGGUAGCUCGUAGCGCUCCAAACUCACCUGCGUUUCAGAACGACAUCUACCCACUGGUUUCAGCUCCUAGAGCAACAACUGCAGAAUCUCCAUGGUCCAAAGUCCUCCAGGAAAGAGAAGAAAGGGGUGACGGGGAACACUCAAUGUCGGAACGUUCCGAAGAUGACGUCGGAGCGUUCUCGAAUCCCGUGUCUCUCGGCUGCUGCUGCCGAAGGAACAGGGAAAAAGCAACAAGAAGGAAGAGCAAUGGCGACACUGGAUCGCAAAGUGCCCAGUCCGGAGGCGUUUCUGGGCAAACCCUGGUCCUCCUGGAUCGACGCCGCCAAAUUACACUGCUCCGACAAUGUAGAUUUAGAAGAGGCUGGAAAAGAGGGUGGAAAAAGCAGGGAGGUUAUGAGGCUUAAUAAAGAAGCAUGGAAAUACGGUACCUGAAAUGGGACACACUGAGUAGAUAGGUCAUCCCAGACCAAGAUAUGCAAGAGAAGCCACAACCUGCUGCAAUUGGGCAUCAAACACAUAUGGUCGUCAUAAAUAAAUCAUAUCCUG